AAUAGCAUACUCAUUUGACGUUAGCUGCAGAAGAAGCACCGGCUAACUCCGUGCCAGCAGCCGCGGUAAUACGGAGGGUGCGAGCGUUAAUCGGAAUUACUGGGCGUAAAGCGCAUGCAGGUGGUUGUUAAGUCAGAUGUGAAGACCCGGGGCGUCAACCUCGGAAUUGCAUUUGAAACUGGCAAACUAGAGUACUGUAGAGGGGGUAGGAAUUUCAGGUGUAGCGGUGAAAUAGCGUAGAGAUCUGAAGGAAUACCGGUGGCGAAGGCGGCCCCCUGGACCAGAUACUGACACUCAGAUGCGAAAGCGUGGGGAGCAAACAGGAUUAGAUACCCUCGGUAG
Molecule: ribosomal RNA, 342 nt
Filed under: uncultured bacterium
Lineage: Bacteria
Description: bacterial SSU rRNA
Rfam family: Bacterial small subunit ribosomal RNA
Source: RNAcentral